Molecule: long non-coding RNA, 994 nt
Organism: Alligator mississippiensis (American alligator)
Lineage: Eukaryota; Metazoa; Chordata; Crocodylia; Alligatoridae
Exons: 2
Source: RefSeq, a predicted model, not a curated record
UCUGUGUGACCACUCAGUGCUUUAUAAGAGCAGCCAGCCUGCUAGAGCAGGACUCAUUGAUGGUCAGUGGAAGAGCCUGGUGAGAUUCACAUGUGUGUUUGGGGAGCUGAGAGCUGUGCCUACUGCAGUGAGAAGUUAACAUCCUUGCAAAAAGACACUUGCCACACCCGAUUCGGAUUGCCUCUGUAGCACUGCAAGCAUGGGAGGCAAAAUUGGCAAGAAAUGGCUUGAAUCGACUACAGAGAAGAUGGAGGAAGACGUUAUAAAGGCUACUGUAAUGGUUCGAAGGAAAAUGAGGAAAACCAGUCUGCUGCAGAGAGAGUGGUGGCAAAAAGUGAGAAGCGUGGCCAAGAAUCCCAGGUCCCUGCUGGUGGCACAGAAGACAGAAAAGGAGGGGAAAAUCCUGCAGUGGGUGGAGAAGAGUCCUGCAAAGCUGAACCAGAAUUGGCAGCCAAGCAAGUACAGCUCUUGGUGGAAGCUGCCAGUGGAAAGGGCUCUAAAUCUUCAGAAGUCACUUUCCAGCUUCUGGAAAUAGCAACAAUUUGUAUCUUAACAGCAAUCAGGGAACCCAAUCCUGAAUGUUUCCUAGUCCUUGGAUGUUUAAGCACUCAAAGUGACUCCACUUCUGCACCUGUUUAGAGACUAACAGCAGUGAAAAGAUGCUUCCUUUGAAAUGGAGUUUAACAUAAGUGCUACUACUUGCUUUUAAAACCUUGGACUACCUUCACAAAGCAGUCUUGCUAGAAGUGAGGUGCCACUGUGAUCUGGCUUACCAAGUGAUGUUAGCUAAAACUGGCUGGUCUUGGCUUUAUCUGUGCUCCUGAGUUCCACUUCCCCAAGUGGGCAUGCAUUUUGGGGGUGGGUGUUGUGCCAGUGUCCAAGUUCUCUGCCUUCUACACUGGACUGAAAUAUAGCACAUCUCUUACCUGAAUGGUCCUGACUUGACUUCCCAAGACACUGUACCUUUAAUGUAGAUGAUGCAUUUUUUUUUUUU